RNAcentral lists this transfer RNA (73 nucleotides) under bacterium. Its description in RNAcentral is "tRNA-Ala". It matches the Rfam family "tRNA". Rfam says of the family: Transfer RNA (tRNA) molecules are approximately 80 nucleotides in length. Their secondary structure includes four short double-helical elements and three loops (D, anti-codon, and T loops). Further hydrogen bonds mediate the characteristic L-shaped molecular structure. tRNAs have two regions of fundamental functional importance: the anti-codon, which is responsible for specific mRNA codon recognition, and the 3' end, to which the tRNAs corresponding amino acid is attached (by aminoacyl-tRNA synthetases). tRNAs cope with the degeneracy of the genetic code in two manners: having more than one tRNA (with a specific anti-codon) for a particular amino acid; and 'wobble' base-pairing, i.e. permitting non-standard base-pairing at the 3rd anti-codon position. The record is from RNAcentral. RNAcentral also lists the same sequence under 3 other names.
GGGGGAUUAGCUCAGUUGGUAGAGCGCCUGCUUUGCACGCAGGAUGUCAGGAGUUCGAGUCCCCUAUCCUCCA